Chinchilla lanigera (long-tailed chinchilla) is the source of this 5507-nucleotide long non-coding RNA. RefSeq lists it as uncharacterized. The transcript has 4 exons. The record is from RefSeq and is a predicted model, not a curated record. Lineage: Eukaryota; Metazoa; Chordata; Mammalia; Rodentia; Chinchillidae.
CUCGAGUGUUGGAAUUAUGGCGUGUACCACCAUGCCUGGCUCAUUUCAUAUUUUUAUGGAGUAAAAGAUAUCUCUAAUACUUUCAAGAUCUUUAUCAGUUAAAGAAAACAACAAAAUUAGGUCUGCAGUUCAUGACUAUGCACGCUUUCCAUGGCCCUUUUAAAAGACGUCCCUGAGAAAUGAAACUCCAGUGCUCUUCUGCCCCAGUUUUUCUACACUGUCAUUCGGAGGAUCUGACUUCCCAGUGAAGCAAGUGCCCGGCUCUCUCCUCUGUCCUUGUGCUGCACAGGUUCAUGCGGUCAGGACAGACACAGUGGGGUCCUUCGGGUGGUACAGGCAGCGACAGCUGACACAGUAAUCCUGUUACAUCACCCUCCUUGGUAGAACAUGUAGUGCUAUGCCUGACUGAAAAGCAAGGCUGUGCUUAAAAAUGCUUCCAACUUAGGCAGAGCUUCCCAGAUUCAGUCUGCGAAUCCGCACUGGGUGCUCUCAGCAGGAAUCUCUUGAAGAUGAGCCUAUUUCUACCGGCUUCUUCACAGCACUGUGUCCACACGUGUGUGACAACAGCCUGCCUGUGAAUGUGGACUGGGCCGGCUGCUGCUCUAAUCCACAAAAGUCUGAGUAACAUCGUAUAUGUGUUUUAAUAAUCUGCUCAACUUAUGGACAAAAUGUGCAUGACACAGAUAUUUUGGUUGUCCUUAGAACAAGAAGCCACAGUCUUGCAUAAGCUUGGGCUGAUGAGAAGGAUAGUUACAGUCCAACCCACUGUAAAAAUAACAGUUUGGGGAUGAAAAUAAAUAUUUGAAAUCUGUAAUUUAGGAUCAAUAAUCAGGGUGAUCCAAUUUAACCUAAAGCUUAGUAAGUGACUUUUGUAAAACAUCUGACUUUUCAUUAAAGAAUGCAAAACUCCCUGUCUCCUUCCUUUUCGCAUUUCAUACUUAUGUUUCUGUGUAAAGUUGUUCUAGAUGAAGGCAUGGGAGACAGGUAGUUCAAUUUACUUAACUGUCCAUGGCAAAAACAAAACAAAACAAAACAAAACUACACAACCCCUGCAUUGCAUCUGUUUUUGACCCUUUUGGUCCCUUGCCGAGCAGGCGGUAAUCUGCAAAUCCCACGCUAAAAGGAGGGUGUUUGAUAAAGCAACUGGCCUGGGGCUUGCUCUUUGGACACAGCUGGGGUGACGACACAUGCUUCGACUUCCUCUAGAAACUAUCAUAUUCAUUUGGGGACUUAACUGUAAACCUGAAGUCUAUAGUUAAAUCUCACUUACAGUUCCACUCUUACCUAAGAGUCUUUCUACAGAACAGAUUUUUAUAGAAAUUACUGUUGCGCUGACUCCGUGCCCAGCAGCAUUUGACACGGCGGGUCACUUUCCUCCUUGAACAAUUUUCUUCACAUGGCCAGCACGGAUCGCGCUUCCUGGUUCCCUUGCAGUUUCAUGGGCUGCUCCUUCUUAUGCCUCUUUGCUAUUCUCUUUUAUCUUCCCGACUUCCUCCCACUGGAUGCCCCAGGACCUGUCCUUCUGGAGCGUCUUGUCUCUGUACCCAGUUCUGGUGCCGCUGUCGGGGCUCACAGCUUUCAGUAAAUCCCUGAGCUGUGACCCCAAAGCUACCCCGCAACCCAGGCCUCGGCACAAAUAUCCGGACGCUGUGGUCACGCGCCCUUCCUCAGUACCUUGUCCUGCCUCAUCUCACUCUUAAAGGGUUCACAAGGAAGCUUCUGGAAUCCCUCCUCACAUUUCCUCUUGAAGUUUUACCUACUUCGCUAAAUACCAACUCCAUUAUUUCCAACGGAACAGGCCGCACGCCUUUGAAGUCAUCCUUGACUUGUCUUAUUUUCUCACCAACACAUAUACGAAGUAUUGUCAAGUCCUGUUGGCUGUAAUUUCAAGAUAGAGAAUUCACCCAGCUGUUACCACCUGGGUGCAUAAUAAUCUCUUGCCAAAAUUCUGCAGUAACAUCCGAACUGGUCGUCCUGCUUCCUCCUGUAGGCCAAUCUCAACAUGCAGCCACAACUGGUAAAAUCCUCCAUGCAGAGUAAAAGUUGGCCUCCAACAAGAAUCACAAGGUUCUUCUUUUUUUUUUUUUUUUUUUUUUUGGUUUUUCUACGGUACCGGGAACUGAACUCACGACCUUGCGCUUGCCAGGCAGGCGCUUUUAGCCACUGAGCUAAAUCCCCAGCCCCACAAGGUUCUUCUUGAUCUGGCUUCCUCUCAUCUAUAACUUCGUAUCUGUUCUCCCCAGUAGACACCAUUUCACUUACAGACCUUCUUGUCAUUCCUGGAAAAGUAAGUCACGUUCUGAACUUGGGGCCUUGGUAUUUGCUUGUCCCUUGGCCAGCAUGCUGUUUCUCUUAUAUCACAUGGUUUGUAUCCUCAUUUCCGUCAAAUCUUUACUGCAACGACGUUGUUAUGACUGGUAUCUAGAUGUCCCCCAAAGCCUCACACACUCAUAGGCAGAGCCUUGGGGUGGUGACGGUAUCACGAGUGUGUGGUACUCAUCAGUGGAUUGGUCCACUAAGCAGUGUAUGGCCAAAUGUGAUUUGGGAGGUGAAGCCUGGUUGGAGGAGGUGGGUCACUGGGUGCGUGGCCUGGCAGGGUUUAUCACCAUCCUCCUCCCUCUCUGCUUCCCGCCACCAUGCUCUGAGCUGUUUCUUCCCUGCAAUGCUACCCUGCCUUGGAGCCAGCUGAUUAUGGCCUGAAACCUCUCAAAACUGUGAAACAAAACAAACCUUUUCUCUUCUGAGUUGUGGGUGUCAGAGAUUGUGUCCCAGUGACGAGAAAGUAACUAAGAUGGACAUCUUUUUGAUCAGUCUUUCUCUGGCCACACUAACCAAAAUUUUCAUUUCUUCUCUUUGUUUUUCUUGCCUUAGCCCUUGUCACUGUCUAAUAUAUUAUAAGUUCUGCAAGAGCGAGGCUGAUAACUGUUAUCUUGUCUACUGUGGUAACUGGCCUAGGGAGGGCACAAUAAAUAUCUGUUGUGGAAUGUCUUUGGCAAUUUUAGUGUCUUUCAAAUCACUGUGUAGGAGUCAUCUGUUAAAACAAACAAAAUGAAACUAAACAAAAAUGAAACUAAAGAAUUUCUAGCCCCGCACUACCCACAUCUGAGAAUUCUGAUAGAGUAGGAGCCAGGUGACUCCUAGGACCCUCAUAUUAGAGGUCUACCUAACACGUUUGGAGAAACACUGACUUUGCAUUUGCAUUUCUUACAAGCUACCUCUUAGCAUACCUAUAUAAAACAAGCCAUGGGCCAAGACUGGGCCAUCACCUGUUCUUGCAAAUAAAGUUUUGCUGGAACACAACCACAUAAAUUAAUUUACAUGGUGUCUAUGGUUGAAUUUAUCCUACGACAGAAUAGCUGCGUGGUUGUGACAUAGACUAUGUGGCCUCAAACUCUAAAAUAUUCACUAUUGGGACCUUUUCAGAACAUUUAUCAGCCCUGGACGUAGAAUGUAAGGUAAAUUGUUCCUAAACACCACUUCGUUUUCCCAAAGCUGAGGGCUUCGUAAUGUAUUCUUAAGACAAAUCUAUCCCACCUCUAUGAACAGGUACAUUAAUCAUACAUUUAACACCCCACCCCUUAUCUGUAAUUCUCCAAAGAAUGUUGAGCAUUUUGGUUUCUGUAACGAACAAUGAAUAAAAAACUAAAAUCGCAUUAUAAAUAGCCUUGGCAUCUUUGCUUUAUGUAAUUUUUUUAGCAGGAGACUUUAAUAAAAACUGAAGGACUGGGGACAUAGCUCAGCGGCACAGCGCCUGCCUGACAAGUGCAAGGGUCUGAGUUUGAUUCCUGGUACCAACCCAACCCCCCAAAAACCAAAAACUCAAGCACUCUGGGAAGAACGUUUAAUAAUAUGUCAUUUCCUAAGGAAAAAACUACAAUUUCAAAUUAUCUGAAAAAUAGCCCUGCUCUUCUCACAGCCAUGGUUGUGAAACCUGUCCUGGGGCAUCUGUCCUCUGAAUACCCCCAUGUCUUUAGGCUGCAGAAUAGCAUGAAAGCGAAAGGAAAACGGAACCCCCCUCAGCGGCCAGUGGAACUUCUACAUCCUCUUCUGGGCAAAGAAACCAUAAACACAGUGUGAUUUCCAACAGCCGAGUCUCCCACUCUCUUUCAACAGGGGGACCGGGGGGACCCCUAUACCUGGCGUUCUCCACUUGUCCCUUGUCCCUUCCCUCACUGCUCUGGGGCCUUUAGUUGUGGGAGUUGCAGUUUUUAAAAAGCUUAUUUAGUUAUUCAAGCUGAGCAGUUUUAAUUUGUUCUAAUAGUUAAGGCCAGAAAAACUAUUACCACAACUGCAGGAUAGCAUUAUCAAAGCCAGCAGCUGCCAGGCACCUUUAUUUUUUUUUUUUAGUUGCUUUUAUCUUUAUACUAAGGAAAGACUCGCUGUAUUUUCAACAUUUGGAAUCCCUAUUCUUUAAAGAUGCAGAAUUACAUUUCUAAGAAAAUUAAGUGUAGUUUUUACUGCUUGAGCCUUGAUCAAUAAGCAACUUUCCCUGACUACAUUAUCCAAAUGGGGUGUAUUUAAUUCUAGAAAUACUGUUUCUAAUAUCUGAAUUUUAAAACCACAUACAAAUAGAUAAUGCCAGAGACUAUAUUUUGAGAAGUUAACUAUUUGGGGCUUUCAGUACACUACUCAUUCACAUGAAGAAAGGGUAUAAUAACUAAUCUCGUGGCUCCCUAUUCAACAUGUAAGGUGGCGGCUCUCACUCCCGCGGAAAGGGACAAGGAGUUUCUCUGGUUUAGAGAAUUUCCAGAGACUGAUUUCUGCACCAGCCACGGUCAUCAAAGACAGCAGGAAGGCAAAUCCUUGGAAGAGAAGACACCAGGACUAAUAACAGAAGGCAACUGAGAAAGCUUGUAGGAUAUUAAACUAUCUGUGCAAAUUUUAGGGUGAAACAGGCGCUGUUGAUAAUGAAAUGGCUGAAUUAACAGAGCCUGAAGAGGAACUGAAUGUUGAUACAAAGGUGCUUUAACAUGUAGGAUUUAUUUCUGGAAAAAAUAAAAUACACACUGACCUCCUAGACGCAUUUAUCCUGGAGCUUAUAAACACAUUUAUUCUUGCUUUUCAGUUUCAAGUGUCACAUUAAAUAUUUUUCGAUUCAUUUUGCAUCUGUUCCUUUUAAAAUACCAACGCUAUUGUAUUACUCUGGGCUUUGUUUUUGUCCUGCUGUUUUAUAGCCAUCACUCAUAUUGAGGUUUUCUAGUCAACAGCAAUAGUGUGGAGAAAAAGGCAAAUUUCUUCCUGUUUUUUCUUCUUUUUGUGUGUGUUAUUACUAUGGCAAAGCAUUAGGUCAGCUUGCUACAGUGCAGUCUUACUAAAAAUAGAACCUUUGGAUACUGAAUCCCGAGCAAAUGGAGAUACCCGCAAACCACCACUAGAUGGCAGAGCAGCCUCACCAUUGCUAUCAGUCCUGCCGGCAAAAUUCGACUUAAAAUCCACAGUACCACAUUUCCUACCAUGUCAGAUUUUGAUCAAUUUAGAUUUUAACAUAUGGGUGACCACCUCGGUCU